Molecule: ribosomal RNA, 465 nt
Filed under: uncultured bacterium
Lineage: Bacteria
Description: partial 16S ribosomal RNA
Rfam family: Bacterial small subunit ribosomal RNA
Source: RNAcentral
GAUGAACGCUGGCGGCGUGCCUAACACAUGCAAGUCGUACGGUCAGGCCCUUCCGGGGCUCCUCUCGUGCCGACGGCGGGAGUAUCACGUACAUAACCUUCCCACAACUUUGGGAAUACGCUAGGAAACGGGUGCCAAAACUGGAAUUGGUCUACUGCUCCAUCGUGGGGGUUGUAAAGCCCCGGCGGUUUUGGAUGGACUGUAGGCCUAUCAGCUUGUUGGUGUGGUAGUGGCCUACCAAGGCGGCGACGGGUAGCCGGCCUGUGUGGGUGACCGGCGACAUUGGGACUGAGAUACGGCCCAGACUCCUACGGGAGGAAGAUGGGGGGAAUAUUGCACAAGGGGCGUAGGCCGGAUGCAGCAAGGCCGCGUGCGGGAAGACGGUCUUAGGGGUGAAAACCGCUUGCAGCAGGAACGAAGCUUUUUUUGACGGUACCUGCAGAAGAAGCACCGGCUAACUACGUG